RNAcentral lists this ribosomal RNA (253 nucleotides) under uncultured bacterium. Its description in RNAcentral is "partial 16S ribosomal RNA". It matches the Rfam family "Bacterial small subunit ribosomal RNA", at positions 524 to 776 of the family's 1533-position model. The record is from RNAcentral.
UACGGAGGGGGCUAGCGUUGUUCGGAAUUACUGGGCGUAAAGCGCACGUAGGCGGCUUUGUAAGUUAGAGGUGAAAGCCCGGAGCUCGACUCCGGAAUUGCCUUUAAGACUGCAUCGCUCGAAUCAUGGAGAGGUAAGUGGAAUUCCGAGUGUAGAGGUGAAAUUCGUAGAUAUUCGGAAGAACACCAGUGGCGAAGGCGACUCACUGGACAUGUAUUGACGCUGAGGUGCGAAAGCGUGGGGAGCAAACAGG